UACGGAAGGUGCAAGCGUUGUUCGGAUUGACUGGGCGUAAAGCGCACGUAGGCGGGUUUGUAAGUCGGAUGUGAAAGCCCCGGGCUUAACCUGGGAAUGGCACCCGAAACUGCGAAUCUUGAAUGUCUAAGGGGUUGGUGGAAUUCCAGGUGUAGGAGUGAAAUCCGUAGAUAUCUGGAGGAACAUCGGCGGCGAAGGCGGCCAACUGGUGGUGCAUUGACGCUGAGGUGCGAAAGCGUGGGGAGCAAACAGG
RNAcentral lists this ribosomal RNA (253 nucleotides) under uncultured bacterium. RNAcentral describes it as "partial 16S ribosomal RNA". It matches the Rfam family "Bacterial small subunit ribosomal RNA", at positions 524 to 776 of the family's 1533-position model. The record is from RNAcentral.